GUACACGCUGUGACUAGCAUAUCAAUAAGCGGAGGAAAAGAAACUAACAAGGAUUCCCUCAGUAACGGCGAGUGAAGCGGGAAGAGCUCAAAUUUGAAAUCUUGAAAGGUCACCUUUCACGAAUUGUAGUUUAAAGAAGUGUUUUCUGUUACGAUCGUAAUAUAAGUUCUUUGGAAUAGGACAUCACAGAGGGUGAGAAUCCCGUCUAUGAUUGCGAUUUGUAGCUUUGUGAUACACUUUCAAAGAGUCGGGUUGUUUGGGAAUGCAGCCCAAAACGGGAGGUAAAUUUCUUCUAAGGCUAAAUAUUGGCGAGAGACCGAUAGCGAACAAGUACCGUGAGGGAAAGAUGAAAAGAACUUUGAAAAGAGAGUUAAAUAGUACGUGAAAUUGUCAAAAGGGAAGCGUUUAACACCAGUGUUGUUUUCUGAAAAUCAACCUCUGUUAGCUUUAUGCAUGUUUGUUUAGACCUAAUCAGCUAUCUUGCAUGUUCUAUUGUUUGCAGUGGUGCACUUUUCAGUUUACAGGUCAACAUCAGUUUUUUUUACCGUAAAAAAGUUAAAGAAAGGUAGCUCAUGGCUCCGGUCGUGAGUGUUAUAGUCUUUUUCCUAUGCGGUAGGAGAGACUGAGGUCUGCAGUGUAGGCUAUUUGGCUAGAUACUCAGGUGCUAUGUGAUACCAUUUCAUAAACAACUUGUUGAUUAUGUUUUGUCUAUUGCAUACUCGCUUGUACUAUCAUACCUACGCUUAGGAUGUUGACGCAUGAGAUAUACGC
Molecule: ribosomal RNA, 771 nt
Filed under: uncultured Neocallimastigales
Lineage: Eukaryota; Fungi; Neocallimastigomycota; Neocallimastigomycetes; Neocallimastigales
Description: partial large subunit ribosomal RNA
Rfam family: Eukaryotic large subunit ribosomal RNA
Source: RNAcentral